This 575-nucleotide ribosomal RNA is filed under the name uncultured bacterium. RNAcentral's name for it is "partial 16S ribosomal RNA". It matches the Rfam family "Bacterial small subunit ribosomal RNA", at positions 355 to 914 of the family's 1533-position model. The record is from RNAcentral.
UGGGGAAUUUUGGACAAUGGGCGAAAGCCUGAUCCAGCAAUGCCGCGUGUGUGAAGAAGGCCUUCGGGUUGUAAAGCACUUUUGUCCGGAAAGAAAUCCUUGGCUCUAAUACAGUCGGGGGAUGACGGUACCGGAAGAAUAAGCACCGGCUAACUACGUGCCAGCAGCCGCGGUAAUACGUAGGGUGCAAGCGUUAAUCGGAAUUACUGGGCGUAAAGCGUGCGCAGGCGGUUUGCUAAGACCGAUGUGAAAUCCCCGGGCUCAACCUGGGAACUGCAUUGGUGACUGGCAGGCUAGAGUAUGGCAGAGGGGGGUAGGAAUUCCACGUGUAGCAGUGAAAAUGCGUAGAGAUGUGGAGGAAUACCGAUGGCGAAGGCAGCCCCCUGGGCCAAUACUGACGCUCAUGCACGAAAAGCGUGGGGGAGCAAAACAGGAUUAGAUACCCCUGGUAGUCCACGCCCCUAAAACGAUGUCAACUAGUUGUUGGGGAUUCAUUUCCUUAGUAACGUAGCUAACGCGUGAAGUUGACCGCCUGGGGAGUACGGUCGCAAGAUUAAAAACUUAAAGGAAUUGAC